AAAUUAAAUCACGCAUUUGGCAUUAAUGAGAGAUUGGGAGAUCACUCAUUUGGCAUUGGGAGAUCACGCAUUUUGGAUGUUUCAGAAAUAGGUCUACAAAUAUCCAGAAAUUGUUAUAACGAGGUUGGUAAUUGCAGAUUAAAGGUUGUCAGAUUUCUGGGACGCAUGGUGGUGCAGGCGGGAGCUGCCAUUACUAAGAUUCUUAUCCUCGUUGGUGCAGACUGCUUGCUCUUGUGGACAUUAAAAUAAUUUAUUUCAUUCAUUCAUCACAAGAAGGAUUAUUGUCGCCCCUUUUCAAUCUGCUGGCAAUUAUGUGACUUUCAAGCAAGGUUCCAAAACGUCAACAAAAAGUAGAACAGUUAAGCGAGGCACGGCAGAAAAGCGAAUAUUUCUUAUGUGAUUUUAGUUGUUGGGAGAUAGUCAAUGGUGGAUAAAAGGAGUGUACUGGAUUCCCAGCAAGGUGCUUGUUUUGAGUGCUCAGACAGUCCAACUUGUGGGAUAUUUUGAGAUGAAAAAUGUUGAUAUGUCAUGCAAGUCGAAAGAGGAGCAAGUGAAAAGGCUUAUUGACAAUCAAUUAGCCAUUAACGGUGCCAGGUUUUGCGUUUGCAUAUUUUUGGAUACAUACAACCACUGGCUGUAUAUACCCAAAAAAAUACGCAAAUACAAAGCCUGACACCAUCAAUGGCCAAUUGAUUGUCACUAAGUAGUUUCACCAACUCCUCUUUAAACUUUCAUGACAUAUCAACAUUUUUCAUGUCAAAAUAUCCUACAAGUUGGACCGUUAGAGCACUCAAAACAAGCACAUUGCUAGGAAUCCAGUACACUUCUUUUAUCCACCGCUUGGCUAUCUCCCAACAACUGCAAUCACAAAAUAUAUAUUAGCUUUUGGGAGAUGGACCAACAUUGCAGUGCUGAAAUUAAGUUUAUCUCUCCAUAUCACCACUGAAGUUUUUGCACUCGAGGAUGUCAAGAAAGCAAGUAAAUACAGAAAUGUGGAAUUUGUUUCUUCCAGUGUGGUUUUCUUAAUACGAGUUACCUGUGUUUGUGACUUAUUUAGGCUGCACAGUUUUAGUGGGUAAGCUCAUUCAAGACUCUCUCUAAAGACUUCAUGAAUCCUUUCAAGAAAUCUGUCAGAAGGCGAUAAAUUGUCUAACUUCAUAGAAAAGAUUUUGAAAUGGUGGACUACAACGUUUGCUUGGAAGGCACAAUACAAGUUAGCCAAUUCAACUUUUGUUGGCAGUUGGGAUGAUUGUGACGAUCUGUGUUGCAGUGGUGGGCAACAAAGCUAGACUACUUUUGCAUUAGGGCAGUCAUGUGGGAUUGGCAUCAUAUCUUCAGUGUAUUUUUGUCAUUAUAGGAUGGAUUGUCAUUCUCUACUGAUGGUUUAUGGUAGUGUGUAACUAUGGAUAUUCUAUACACAUAAAUCUUUGUAAAGUCUUCCAGUUUACAAAUCACUUUGCCAGCUUGUCUACCACCUCACCUUCUCAUUAAAUGUGGGAGAGCUUUAAUUAUUCCAUAUGAGAUCAAUCUGCCAUAUGUGUGGGAUAAAUUUAUUAGGUUUGCAAUUGGGGGUAUCUUGAUGAUGAAUGGUAUUGAUGACAAUCAUUGAAUCUCCCUUUAGGUGGAUCUUGAAGUCUAAUUAUCUACAAAGCAGUAUCCCUAGCUAA
Molecule: long non-coding RNA, 1667 nt
Organism: Cryptomeria japonica (Japanese cedar)
Lineage: Eukaryota; Viridiplantae; Streptophyta; Pinopsida; Cupressales; Cupressaceae
Exons: 3
Source: RefSeq, a predicted model, not a curated record